GCUUAGCCCUAAACUAAAAUAGCUCACCACAACAAAGCUAUUCGCCAGAGUACUACUAGCAACAGCCUAAAAC
RNAcentral lists this ribosomal RNA (73 nucleotides) under Chordata environmental sample. Its description in RNAcentral is "partial 12S ribosomal RNA". Lineage: Eukaryota; Metazoa; Chordata. The record is from RNAcentral.